GACGAACGCUGGCGGCGUGCUUAACACAUGCAAGUCGAACGGAAAGGCCCUGCUUUUGUGGGGUUCUCGAGUGGCGAACGGGUGAGUAACACGUGAGUAACCUGCCCUUGACUUUGGGAUAACUUCAGGAAACUGGGGCUAAUACCGGAUAGGAGCUCCUGCUGCAUUGUGGGGGUGGGAAAGUUUCGGCGGUUGGGGAUGGACUCGCGGCUUAUCAGCUUGUUGGUGGGGUAGUGGCUUACCAAGGCUUUGACGGGUAGCCGGCCUGAGAGGGUGACCGGCCACAUUGGGACUGAGAUACGGCCCAGACUCCUACGGGAGGCAGCAGUGGGGAAUAUUGCACAAUGGGCGGAAGCCUGAUGCAGCAACGCCGCGUGCGGGAUGACGGCCUUCGGGUUGUAAACCGCUUUCGCCUGUGACGAAGCGUGAGUGACGGUAAUGGGUAAAGAAGCACCGGCUAACUACGUG
RNAcentral lists this ribosomal RNA (468 nucleotides) under uncultured bacterium. RNAcentral describes it as "partial 16S ribosomal RNA". It matches the Rfam family "Bacterial small subunit ribosomal RNA", at positions 28 to 507 of the family's 1533-position model. The record is from RNAcentral.